Molecule: ribosomal RNA, 499 nt
Filed under: uncultured bacterium
Lineage: Bacteria
Description: bacterial SSU rRNA
Rfam family: Bacterial small subunit ribosomal RNA
Source: RNAcentral
AACUGGCGGCGUGGAUAGGCAUGCAGUCGAACGAGAAAGGUCCCUUCGGGGGCUGAGUAGAGUGGCGAACGGGACAGUAACACGUGGGAAACCUGCCCUGCAGUGGGGGAUAACACUUCCAACGAGGUGCUAAUACCGCAUACGACCGCCGGUCGCAUGGCCGGCUGGUGAAAGGUGGCCUCUGCUUGCAAGCUGCCGCUGCUGGGUGGUCCCGCGCCCGAUUAGCUUGUUGGCGGGGUAACGGCCCACCAAGGCUACGAUCGGUAGGCGACCUGAGAGGGUGACCGCCGUCACUGGGACUGAGAUACGGCCCAGACUCCUACGGGAGGCAGCAGUCGAGAAGCUUCGGCAAUGGGCGAAACCCUGACGCAGCAACGCCGCGUGAGUGAGGAAGGUUUUCGGAUCGUAAAGCUCUGUCGGGUGGGAAGAAAUGUAUGGAGGUUAAUAGCCUCUGUACUUGACGGUACCGCCAAAGGAAGCACCGGCUAACUCCGUGCCA